UACGUAGGGCGCAAGCGUUGUCCGGAAUUAUUGGGCGUAAAGAGCUCGUAGGCGGUCUGUCGCGUCUGCCGUGAAAACCCGAGGCUUAACCUCGUGGCUUGCGGUGGAUACGGGCAGACUAGAGGUAGGUAGGGGAGAAUGGAAUUCCCGGUGUAGCGGUGAAAUGCGCAGAUAUCGGGAGGAACACCGGUGGCGAAGGCGGGUCUCUGGGCCGAUAUUGACGCUGAGGAGCGAAAGCGUGGGGAGCGAACAGG
RNAcentral lists this ribosomal RNA (254 nucleotides) under uncultured bacterium. Its description in RNAcentral is "partial 16S ribosomal RNA". It matches the Rfam family "Bacterial small subunit ribosomal RNA", at positions 524 to 776 of the family's 1533-position model. The record is from RNAcentral.